RNAcentral lists this ribosomal RNA (497 nucleotides) under uncultured bacterium. RNAcentral describes it as "partial 16S ribosomal RNA". It matches the Rfam family "Bacterial small subunit ribosomal RNA", at positions 28 to 507 of the family's 1533-position model. The record is from RNAcentral.
GAUGAACGCUGGCGGCGUGCCUAAUACAUGCAAGUCGAGCGAACGGACGAGAAGCUUGCUUCUCUGAUGUUAGCGGCGGACGGGUGAGUAACACGUGGAUAACCUACCUAUAAGACUGGGAUAACUUCGGGAAACCGGAGCUAAUACCGGAUCAUAUUUUGAACCGCAUGGUUCAAAAGUGAAAGACGGUCUUGCUGUCACUUAUAGAUGGAUCCGCGCUGCAUUAGCUAGUUGGUAAGGUAACGGCUUACCAAGGCAACGAUGCAUAGCCGACCUGAGAGGGUGAUCGGCCACACUGGAACUGAGACACGGUCCAGACUCCUACGGGAGGCAGCAGUAGGGAAUCUUGCGCAAUGGGCGAAAGCCUGACGGAGCAACGCCGCGUGAGUGAUGAAGGUCUUCGGAUCGUAAAACUCUGUUAUUAGGGAAGAACAUAUGUGUAAGUAACUGUGCACAUCUUGACGGUACCUAAUCAGAAAGCCACGGCUAACUACGUG